This is a non-coding RNA of Podarcis lilfordi (Lilford's wall lizard), 83 nucleotides long. The record is from the annotation of a GenBank genome assembly. NCBI's taxonomy places the organism in Eukaryota, Metazoa, Chordata, Lepidosauria, Squamata, Lacertidae.
UGUAAGUCAGAAAAAACAUGGCUCAGUGGUAGGGCAUCUACCUUGCAUGCAGAAGGUCCCAGGUUUGAUCUCAGCAUCUUCAA